This 393-nucleotide ribosomal RNA is filed under the name uncultured bacterium. Its description in RNAcentral is "bacterial SSU rRNA". It matches the Rfam family "Bacterial small subunit ribosomal RNA", at positions 1 to 401 of the family's 1533-position model. The record is from RNAcentral.
UAGAUGACCUGCUAGGACGAAGCUGGCGGCGUGCCUAAACAUGCAAGUCGAGCGCGCCUUCUCAGCUUGCUCCUGAAUGUAGCCGCGUGCGGAUGAGUAGCACGUGGGCAGCCUGCCUGUCCUACUGGUGUAAAUUCGGGAAACCGAGGCUAAUAUCGGAUAAUCCUUUUCCUCAAAUGAGGGAAAGCUGGCGGACGGCGUAGGCUGCGCUUAAAGAUGGGCCCGCGGCGCAUUAGCUAGUUGGUGAGGUAACGGCUCACCAAGGCAACGAUGCGUAGCCGACCUGAGAGGGUGAUCGGCCACACUGGGACUGAGACACGGCCCAGACUCCUACGGGAGGCAGCAGUAGGGAAUCUUCCGCAAUGGACGAAAGUCUGACGGAGCAACGCCGCG